This 287-nucleotide small nuclear RNA is filed under the name Pteropus alecto (black flying fox). Its description in RNAcentral is "7SK RNA". It matches the Rfam family "7SK RNA". Rfam says of the family: 7SK was discovered as an abundant small nuclear RNA in the mid-70s but a possible function has only recently been suggested. Two independent studies have found that 7SK RNA binds the CDK9/cyclin T complex (known as elongation factor P-TEFb). P-TEFb activates transcription by phosphorylating the C-terminal domain of RNA polymerase II. The record is from Rfam by way of RNAcentral. Lineage: Eukaryota; Metazoa; Chordata; Mammalia; Chiroptera; Pteropodidae.
GCAAGUUUGUACACUUAGAUGACAUCUGCCUCUCAUUGACUUCCAGGGUGGACUCAGCUCGUCUGGCUGGCUAAGCAGUGUCUCCUUCCUCUCGCAUGGCUCCAUGUGUGUCCCUCCUAAAGUUUCUUGCCAGGUGGGAGAGGAAGAGGGCCAUUCUUCAGUCAUGGGUAUACAAGUGGCGUGGUCCCCAGGUAGAACCUCCAUACACAUUGUCAGGCUGUUACUACUCUGUAAUUUGCAUAUGAGGAGUGACGAGGUAAUAUAAAUUUCUCAAGGUGUGAGAAAAU